UUGUAAAUUUAUACAUGAAGCUCCGUGGAGUGGAACUAACUCAGGCUCUUCAUGUUGCAGCUGAGGCUCGCUGCCCCUGGGGGGCAGUGAGCAGGGUCGGGC
Molecule: non-coding RNA, 102 nt
Organism: Procavia capensis (Cape rock hyrax)
Lineage: Eukaryota; Metazoa; Chordata; Mammalia; Hyracoidea; Procaviidae
Source: Rfam